This 503-nucleotide long non-coding RNA is filed under the name Macaca mulatta (Rhesus monkey). RNAcentral describes it as "lncRNA (ENSMMUG00000058061.1)". The record is from RNAcentral. Lineage: Eukaryota; Metazoa; Chordata; Mammalia; Primates; Cercopithecidae.
UGUGACUUGAAGGAAGCUUCAGAUUCAUUCAGCUCUGCCGUUAGGUGGCAGCAGUACAACAUGAAAAACAUUUAAGGCACUAAUGGAGUAAAAAUGGUGACGAUGAUCGUAUCAUGAUGGUGACGAUGGUGAUGAUGAGAAGACAAAUCUGGAUGGUGGUCUGACUGCUUACUGGUGCAGCAGGGAUUGCAGAGAGUGGUGAAAUGUGUUUCUGAUUCACAGCUGAUGGUUUAUAGGACCAUAGUGAUUCUUGACAGUGGUGGCACACAAUGCUCUGGGCAGGAGACUCUGUUUCCACCAACCUAGGCCAUGCACAAAUCUCAUGCCUCAAACGUCUCCAGAGGUCAAAAAUCAGAUACUAGAGUCAGUGAACCAGUGUAUCAUCUUGCUUUUCUCCUAAAAGAGAGAAUUCUACCAACUUCCUUAAGAAGUAAAAGCAACAAUAUAAAAAUAUUAUGGCGUGCUUCAAAGUUUGACUGAAGAGUCUCAUGAGGCCAACACAG